ACACCCAAGUAGCACGGGGCCCGAGAAAUCCCGUGUGAAUCUGGCGGGACCACCCGCUAAGCCUAAAUAUUCCCUGGUGACCGAUAGCGGAUAGUACCGUGAGGGAAUGGUGAAAAGUACCCCGGGAGGGGAGUGAAAUAGUACCUGAAACCGUGUGCCUACAAGCCGUGGGAGCGUCGGACAUCAGCUUGCUGGUGUCUCGUGACUGCGUGCCUUUUGAAGAAUGAGCCUGCGAGUUUGCGGUGUGUUGCGAGGUUAACCCGGGUGGGGUAGCCGUAGCGAAAGCGAGUCCGAAGAGGGCGAUUCAGUAGCACGCUCAAGACCCGAAGCGGAGUGAUCUAGCCAUGGGCAGGUUGAAGCGGAGGUAAGACUUCGUGGAGGACCGAACCCACCAGGGUUGAAAACCUGGGGGAUGACCUGUGGUUAGGGGUGAAAGGCCAAUCAAACUCCGUGAUAGCUGGUUCUCCCCGAAAUGCAUUUAGGUGCAGCGUCGUGUGUUUCUUGCCGGAGGUAGAGCACUGGAUAGGCGAUGGGCCCUACCGGGUUACUGACCUUAGCCAAACUCCGAAUGCCGGUAAGUGAGAGCGCGGCAGUGAGACUGUGGGGGAUAAGCUCCAUGGUCGAGAGGGAAACAGCCCAGAGCAUCGACUAAGGCCCCUAAGCGUACGCUAAGUGGGAAAGGAUGUGGAGUCGCAGAGACAACCAGGAGGUUGGCUUAGAAGCAGCCACCCUUGAAAGAGUGCGUAAUAGCUCACUGGUCUAGUGAUUCCGCGCCGACAAUGUAGCGGGGCUCAAGCGUACCGCCGAAGUCGUGUCAUUGCAGCAUGAGGCCCAACGGCCGCUGUGAUGGGUAGGGGAGCGUCGUCUGCCGGGUGAAGCAGCACCGGAAGGUAGUUGUGGACGGUUGACGAGUGAGAAUGCAGGCAUGAGUAGCGAUUCACACGUGAGAAACGUGUGCGCCGAUUGACUAAGGGUUCCUGGGUCAAGCUGAUCUGCCCAGGGUAAGUCGGGACCUAAGGCGAGGCCGACAGGCGUAGUCGAUGGAUAACCGGUUGAUAUUCCGGUACCCGCUGUGAAGCGUCAAACAUC
RNAcentral lists this ribosomal RNA (1089 nucleotides) under Streptomyces sp. S.PNR 29. Its description in RNAcentral is "partial 23S ribosomal RNA". It matches the Rfam family "Bacterial large subunit ribosomal RNA", at positions 404 to 1466 of the family's 2925-position model. The record is from RNAcentral. Lineage: Bacteria; Bacillati; Actinomycetota; Actinomycetes; Kitasatosporales; Streptomycetaceae.